UACGUAGGUGGCGAGCGUUGUCCGGAUUUACUGGGCGUAAAGAGCGCGCAGGCGGUCGUUCAAGUCGCGUGUGAAAGCCCCCGGCUCAACUGGGGAGGGUCACGCGAUACUGAUCGACUCGAAGGCAGGAGAGGGAAGUGGAAUUCCCGGUGUAGUGGUGAAAUGCGUAGAUAUCGGGAGGAACACCAGUGGCGAAGGUCGACUUCCUGGCCUGUUCUUGACGCUGAGGCGCGAAAGCUAGGGGAGCAAACGGG
This 254-nucleotide ribosomal RNA is filed under the name uncultured bacterium. Its description in RNAcentral is "partial 16S ribosomal RNA". It matches the Rfam family "Bacterial small subunit ribosomal RNA", at positions 524 to 776 of the family's 1533-position model. The record is from RNAcentral.